UGUACAUAUAUGUAUAUAUAUGUAUGUAUGUAUACAUAUAUGAAUAUAUACACAUAUAUACACAUGUGUAUAUAUGUAUAUAUACACACAUAUAUAUGAAUAUAUACAUACAUAUA
This 116-nucleotide microRNA precursor is filed under the name Tupaia belangeri (northern tree shrew). Its description in RNAcentral is "miRNA (ENSTBEG00000019930.1)". Lineage: Eukaryota; Metazoa; Chordata; Mammalia; Scandentia; Tupaiidae. The record is from RNAcentral.